AUGGGGGACAACCAGGGGUUGGUAAAGGCGUUGGAGAAGCUAGCUGAGCUCAUCACUGUCAAGGCAGAGGGUGUGGCUUCCCCAGGUGCGCUUGUUCCUCAGCCUGAGGUGAUACAGAAAAUAGAACUGAUGCCAAAUGAAAUCAAGAUGGAAGGGGUCACAAACUACCUAAGCUGGUCCAGAAGGGCAUUGCUAAUAUUGAGGACAAAGGGGCUGGAAGGCUAUGUCAGAGGGGAAGUAGAUGAACCGGCGAACAGGGCAAGUGAAGAGUGGAAGAAGUGGAGUGUCAUUGACUCUCUGGUGGUGGCAUGGCUGCUGAACUCCUUGACCCCAUCCAUUGCAGCAGCCGUGGAGACUCUUCCCCAUGCAGCAGAGGUAUGGAAAACCCUGGAAACAUUGUACUCCGGGAAAGGGAACAUAAUGCUUAUGGCGCAGAUUGAGGAUAGAGUAAAUGAGCUAAAACAAGAGGAUAAGUCGGUGAUGGAGUAUGUAGCAGAAUUGCAGCAUUUGUGGGCUGACUUAGACCACUAUGAUCCACUGGAGUUACCACAUUCAGAAUGUAUAGUUGCUACUAAGAAGUGGGUAGAGCGUAGGAGAGUGAUGAAAUUCUUGAAGGGACUUAGCUCAGAAUUUGAAGGAAGGCGUGCUGGGUUGUUUCAUCAGCCAAAGCUCCCCUCGCUUGAGGAGGCAGUUGCAGCAAUGGCACAGGAGGAGGUCAGGUUGAAGUUGACCAGGACUCGAGAAGCGAAUGCAUCUCGCUCAGCAUUUACUGUGUCUGAAUGGAAGGAGACAAGAGAGUGCUUCAACUGUGGAGAGAAAGGUCACAUAAGCAUCAAUUGCACAGCACAACGCAGAGAAAUACGUGGUAGGGGAAGAGGUUACAGCCGAGGUGGAUACCGGGGAGUUAGAGGUAGAGGUAACUCGAGGGGUUCGAAUUAUUCCAGUGGCUUCAAAGCAAACUUGGCUAACUUGGCAACGCAAGAAGAAGGGACGUCAACAACCUCUCAAGGGGAGUCGAAGAGUAGAAGCCAGGAGGACAACACCUUCGGGAACUUUGCCCACUUUGUCUACACAGGGGAAGGAGAGGAUGACUGGAAGGAAACUUGGGACAGGAACCAGGCGUAG
RNAcentral lists this ribosomal RNA (1125 nucleotides) under Triticum aestivum (bread wheat). RNAcentral describes it as "partial small subunit ribosomal RNA". Lineage: Eukaryota; Viridiplantae; Streptophyta; Magnoliopsida; Poales; Poaceae. The record is from RNAcentral.